Molecule: ribosomal RNA, 253 nt
Filed under: uncultured bacterium
Lineage: Bacteria
Description: partial 16S ribosomal RNA
Rfam family: Bacterial small subunit ribosomal RNA
Source: RNAcentral
UACGUAGGGUCCGAGCGUUGUCCGGAGUUACUGGGCGUAAAGCGCGCGCAGGCGGCGGUGUUGGCCCGGCGUGAAAGCCCCCGGCUCAACCGGGGAGGGUCAUUCGAUACUGAUCGACUGGAAGGCAGGAGAGGGAAGCGGAAUUCCCGGUGUAGUGGUGAAAUGCGUAGAUAUCGGGAGGAACACCAGUGGCGAAGGCGGCUUCCUGGCCUGUUCUUGACGCUGAGGCGCGAAAGCUAGGGGAGCAAACGGG